RNAcentral lists this long non-coding RNA (519 nucleotides) under Brassica napus (rape). Its description in RNAcentral is "long non-coding RNA (BNAP_LNC000842)". Lineage: Eukaryota; Viridiplantae; Streptophyta; Magnoliopsida; Brassicales; Brassicaceae. The record is from RNAcentral.
AUUAAGAUUUAGAGUUUAGUAGUAAGGUGGAGGUUCAGAUUUGGGUUUAGUGAACCUAUCAUGUAUCGUUCCAUUUGAAGAUUAAUAAAGAGUGUUCUAUUUUGUUCACUAUUAUGUACUAUACUAUAUUUUUUGUUUCAUUAUAUCUGGGUUUAGGGUUUAUACUUGGGUUUAGGGUUUAGUAAUUAGGAUUUAGGGUUUAUUGAUUAGUAUUUAGGGUUUAGUAUUUGAAAGGUGGGGAUUGAGGUUUGGGUUUGGGUUUAGUGAUAACAGUUUAGGGUUUAGUAUUCAAAAGUUAGGUAUGAGUUUAACAUUUAAGAGUUGUGUGUUGUGUUAGAGUCAUAUACUAUUUCUUAUAUGAAAGAAAACCAUCCUUUUAUUUUUUAUUAUGCACUAAAUUCAUUUCAGUUUCUACACCAUUAAUUCAUUUAUUUAUUUCAUGGAACCACAUCACUAAUUUAAUUUAAAACCGUAUGUGGUAAUAUACACAAGUUACGUGGAUGUCUUCAAAAUCUCUCA